UACAGAGGUGGCAAGCGUUGUUCGGAAUUACUGGGCGUAAAGCGCGCGUAGGCGGUUACUCAAGUCGGAUGUGAAAGCCCUCGGCUUAACUGAGGAAGUGCACCCGAAACUGAGUAGCUAGAGUACUAAAGAGGGUCGCGGAAUUCCCGGUGUAGAGGUGAAAUUCGUAGAUAUCGGGAGGAACACCGGUGGCGAAGGCGGCGACCUGGGUAGAUACUGACGCUGAGGCGCGAAAGCGUGGGGAGCAAACAGG
Molecule: ribosomal RNA, 253 nt
Filed under: uncultured bacterium
Lineage: Bacteria
Description: partial 16S ribosomal RNA
Rfam family: Bacterial small subunit ribosomal RNA
Source: RNAcentral